CCGAGGGCUCGGCAGUCAUCCGCUUGCAAUAUAUGUUCGCCUUUAACCGGGUGGCUAUAUAAGCAAGCAUUUUACCUUGAGAAAAACAGAGUGUUCCAGGCAGGUUUGUCCGGAAUGCAUUAGCAUGGAAUAAUAGAAUAUGACUGAAGUCGAUUUAUUGGGUUUGAGGCUUUAGUAAUGAUUAAUAGGAACAGUCGGGGGGCAUUUGGUACUUGUCAGUCAGAGGUGAAAUUCUAGGAUUUGACAAAGACUAACAAAUGCGAAAGCAUUUGCCAAGGAUGUUUUCAUUAAUCAAGAACGAAAGUUAGGGGAUCAAAGACGAUCAGAUACCGUCCUAGUCUUAACUAUAAACUAUACCGACUCGGAUUCAGAUGAAUCAUAAAGUUCAUUUGGGACCGUAGGAGAAAUCAAAGUUUUUGGGUUCUGGGGGAAGUAUGGUCGCAAGGCUGAAACUUAAAGGAAUUGACGGUUUUGCACCACCAUGGAGUGGAGUCUGCGGCUUAAUUUGACUCAACACUGGGAAACCCAUCAGGGCAAGAAGAUUGUAGGAUUGACAGAUUGAGAGUUCUUUCUUGAUUGGUCUAGUGGUGGUGCAUGGCCGUUCUUAGUUGGUGGAGUGAUUUGUCUGGUUAAUUCCGUUAACGAACGAGACCUUAACCUGCUAACUAGUACACCGAUGACAAAUCGGUGAUACUUCUUAGAGGGACUAUGUG
Molecule: ribosomal RNA, 713 nt
Filed under: uncultured eukaryote
Lineage: Eukaryota
Description: SSU rRNA
Rfam family: Eukaryotic small subunit ribosomal RNA
Source: RNAcentral